This 252-nucleotide ribosomal RNA is filed under the name uncultured bacterium. Its description in RNAcentral is "partial 16S ribosomal RNA". It matches the Rfam family "Bacterial small subunit ribosomal RNA", at positions 525 to 776 of the family's 1533-position model. The record is from RNAcentral.
ACGGAGGGGGCUAGCGUUGUUCGGAAUCACUGGGCGUAAAGCGCGCGUAGGCGGACCAAUCAGUUGGGGGUGAAAGCCCGGAGCUCAACUCCGGAACUGCCUCCAAUACUGUUGGUCUUGAGGUCGAGAGAGGUAAGUGGAAUUCCUAGUGUAGAGGUGAAAUUCGUAGAUAUUAGGAAGAACACCAGUGGCGAAGGCGACUUACUGGCUCGAUUCUGACGCUGAGGUGCGAAAGCGUGGGGAGCAAACAGG